AGCAGCCGCGGUAAUUCCAGCUCCAAUAGCGUAUAUUAAAGUUGUUGCAGUUAAAAAGCUCGUAGUUGAAUUUCGGGGUUAGUAGGCUGGUCAUGCCACCGGUAUGUACUGGUCUUUCUGAUUCCUCCUUCCUGAUGAACUGUAAUGCCAUUAAUUUGGUGUUGCAGGGAAUCUGGACUGUUACUUUGAAAAAAUUAGAGUGUUUAAAGCAGGCUAACGCUUGAAUACAUUAGCAUGGAAUAAUGAAAUAGGACGCUCGAUCCUAUUUUGUUGGUUUCUAGGAUUGACGUAAUGAUUAAUAGGGAUAGUUGGGGGCAUUAGUAUUCAAUUGUCAGAGGUGAAAUUCUUAGAUUUAUUGAAGACUAACUACUGCGAAAGCAUUUGCCAAGGAUGUUUUCAUUAAUCAAGAACGAAAGUUAGGGGAUCGAAGACGAUCAGAUACCGUCGUAGUCUUAACCAUAAACUAUGCCGACUAGGGAUCGGAUGAUGUUAAUUUUUAAUGA
This 503-nucleotide ribosomal RNA is filed under the name uncultured Glomus. Its description in RNAcentral is "SSU rRNA". It matches the Rfam family "Eukaryotic small subunit ribosomal RNA", at positions 569 to 1074 of the family's 1831-position model. Lineage: Eukaryota; Fungi; Glomeromycota; Glomeromycetes; Glomerales; Glomeraceae. The record is from RNAcentral.